GCAAACUUGGUCAUUUAGAGGAAGUAAAAGUCGUAACAAGGUCUCCGUAGGUGAACCUGCGGAGGGAUCAUUAAUGAAUGGCCGUAAGGCCCUCAACCCUUCAAACCUGUGGAAGCCAAAAUGUGCUUCGGCGCCGGGCCCCGGCGUCGCACUUAAAUGCAUUGACUGUCUUGUGUCUGAAUGUUAGCAUGAAGCAAAAUAAAACUUUCAACAAAGGAUCUCUUGGCUCUUGCAUCGAUGAAGAACGCAGC
Molecule: unclassified non-coding RNA, 251 nt
Filed under: uncultured fungus
Lineage: Eukaryota; Fungi
Description: partial contains small subunit ribosomal RNA, internal transcribed spacer 1, and 5.8S ribosomal RNA
Rfam family: Eukaryotic small subunit ribosomal RNA (bases 1-73)
Source: RNAcentral